AUUGAACGCUGGCGGCAGGCCUAACACAUGCCAGUCAAGCGGAUGAAGGGAGCUUGCUCCUGGAUUCAGCGGCGGACGGGUGAGUAAUGCCUAGGAAUCUGCCUGGUAGUGGGGGAUAACGUCCGGAAACGGGCGCUAAUACCGCAUACGUCCUGAGGGAGAAAGUGGGGGAUCUUCGGACCUCACGCUAUCAGAUGAGCCUAGGUCGGAUUAGCUAGUUGGUGGGGUAAAGGCCUACCAAGGCGACGAUCCGUAACUGGUCUGAGAGGAUGAUCAGUCACACGGGAACUGAGACACGGACCAGACGCCUACGGGAGGCAGCAGUGGGGAAUAUUGGACAAUGGGCGAAAGCCUGAUCCAGCCAUGCCGCGUGUGUGAAGAAGGUCUUCGGAUUGUAAAGCACUUUAAGUUGGGAGGAAGGGCAGUAAGUUAAUACCUUGCUGUUUUGACGUUACCAACAGAAUAAGCACCGGCUAACUUCGUG
This 484-nucleotide ribosomal RNA is filed under the name uncultured bacterium. RNAcentral's name for it is "partial 16S ribosomal RNA". It matches the Rfam family "Bacterial small subunit ribosomal RNA", at positions 30 to 507 of the family's 1533-position model. The record is from RNAcentral.